UACGAAGGGGGCUAGCGUUGCUCGGAAUUACUGGGCGUAAAGCGCGUGUAGGCGGGGCUUUAAGUCAGGGGUGAAAUGCCAAGGCUCAACCUUGGAACUGCCUUUGAUACUGAAGAUCUUGAGUUCGGGAGAGGUGAGUGGAACUGCGAGUGUAGAGGUGAAAUUCGUAGAUAUUCGCAAGAACACCAGUGGCGAAGGCGGCUCACUGGCCCGAUACUGACGCUGAGGCACGAAAGCGUGGGGAGCAAACAGG
RNAcentral lists this ribosomal RNA (253 nucleotides) under uncultured bacterium. RNAcentral describes it as "partial 16S ribosomal RNA". It matches the Rfam family "Bacterial small subunit ribosomal RNA", at positions 524 to 776 of the family's 1533-position model. The record is from RNAcentral.